Long non-coding RNA from Loxodonta africana (African savanna elephant), 199 nucleotides. It matches the Rfam family "Maternal intergenic circadian oscillating RNA 1". Rfam says of the family: Maternal intergenic circadian oscillating 1 (Mico1) and Mico1 opposite strand (Mico1os) are lon non-coding RNAs. Their expression shows circadian oscillations. NCBI's taxonomy places the organism in Eukaryota, Metazoa, Chordata, Mammalia, Proboscidea, Elephantidae. The record is from Rfam.
GGCCUCCAGAUAGUUUUGCUUGGAUGUCUGGGGCAGCCACGUGGCCAUACCUUCAACGCCCUGCGAUGUCUUUGCCCUGAGUCAGCCAGAAAGUGACUUACAGCAGAAAACAGGGCUUACUUCUGCCCCAGGGAGGCCCCUCAGUGUAAACAGUGAGAAGUUCUGGGCAGUGUACACAAGGCCAGACUGUUGGGAAAGG